GAUGAACGCUGGCGGCGUGCCUAAUACAUGCAAGUCGAGCGAACGGACGAGAAGCUUGCUUCUCUGAUGUUAGCGGCGGACGGGUGAGUAACACGUGGAUAACCUCCCUAUAAUACUGGGAUAACUUCGGGAAACCGGCUCUAAUACCGUAUAAUAUUUUGAACCGCAUGGUUCAAAAGUGAGAUUCGGUCUUGCUGUCACUUAUAGAUGGAUCCGCGCUGCAUUAGCUAGUUGGUAAGGUAACGGCUUACCAAGGCAACGAUGCAUAGCCGACCUGAGAGGGUGAUAGGCCACACUGGAACUGAGACAAGGUCAAGACGACUACGGGAGGCAGCAGUAGGGAAUCGUACGCAAUGGGGGAAAGCAUGACGGAGCAACGCCGCGUGAGUGAUGAAGGUCUUCGGAUCGUAAAAAUCUGUUAUUAGGGAAGAACAGAUGUGGAAGGAAAUGUGCACAGAUUGACGGUAACUAAUCAGAAAGCCACGGCUAACCACGUG
RNAcentral lists this ribosomal RNA (497 nucleotides) under uncultured bacterium. Its description in RNAcentral is "partial 16S ribosomal RNA". It matches the Rfam family "Bacterial small subunit ribosomal RNA", at positions 28 to 507 of the family's 1533-position model. The record is from RNAcentral.